UACCUUUAACGUCAUGUUGUCUGUCAGUCCCAUUAUAAAAUCUGUGACACUCGUAGGUUGAGUUAGUUUGCAGAUCGAGGAAGAUUCAACAAGAGCGAGCGGCUUUAAUUUCACAGCUCAACUAUAGAAAAACCAUCCAGACAUUUUAUGCGACAGACAUUCAAAAUGCUUCUGAUCAUUCUGAUUCAGCUGUUCCUAAUCGCAUCAGCGAACGCCCAGACAACAACUGUUGCAGCCACCGCAACUACUGUUGCUCCGACCACAACUACUACUGCUGCCACCACCACGACUGCUGCUGCCACCACCACGACUGCUGCUGCCACCACCACGACUGCUGCUGCCACCACCACGACUGCUGCUGCCACCACAACAACAGUAACAACGACAAACGCAACAACGACAACAAACAGCACAACUAGCGCAGCUGCCACCACACAUGCUGGGGUCACGUACAUGGGCAGUCUGGCCUUGUGCCACCUCAGUGUUGUAGUCUUUAAGUAUUUCUGAACUGUCUGACUUUUUGUGUUGCCUUUGUCUCAUUUUAUAGAAUACCGUCAUUGGUUGUCAUGUAGAGGCACCACCUUGUAUCGUUCAUGUUUAAAUAUGUAACCAAAUAAUCACAUCAUGAAGCACACGUGUUGAUGGUUUUCAAGAUCUAGAUGAUACCAAGUGUAAAACUGCUAAUAAAAGUUCGGUAAAUCUCAAA
This is a long non-coding RNA of Amphiprion ocellaris (clown anemonefish), 706 nucleotides long. RefSeq lists it as uncharacterized. NCBI's taxonomy places the organism in Eukaryota, Metazoa, Chordata, Actinopteri, Pomacentridae. The record is from RefSeq and is a predicted model, not a curated record. The transcript is spliced from 3 exons.